RNAcentral lists this ribosomal RNA (779 nucleotides) under uncultured Neocallimastigales. Its description in RNAcentral is "partial large subunit ribosomal RNA". It matches the Rfam family "Eukaryotic large subunit ribosomal RNA", at positions 23 to 635 of the family's 3401-position model. Lineage: Eukaryota; Fungi; Neocallimastigomycota; Neocallimastigomycetes; Neocallimastigales. The record is from RNAcentral.
GAGACUCUGUGCGCGUGCAUAUCAAUAAGCGGAGGAAAAGAAACUAACAAGGAUUCCCUUAGUAACGGCGAGUGAAGCGGGAAGAGCUCAAAUUUGAAAUCUUCAAGGUUCUACCUUGACGAAUUGUAGUUUAUAGAAGUGUUUUCUGUUAGUAGAGUGGCUAAAAGUUCUUUGGAAUAGGACAUCAUAGAGGGUGAGAAUCCCGUAUUUGGUCAUUCCUUCUAGCGUUGUGAUACACUUUCAACGAGUCGGAUUGUUUGGGAAUGCAGUCCAAAAUGGGUGGUAAAUUUCAUCUAAAGCUAAAUAUUGGCGAGAGACCGAUAGCGAACAAGUACCGUGAGGGAAAGAUGAAAAGAACUUUGAAAAGAGAGUUAAACAGUACGUGAAAUUGUCAGAAGGGAAGCGUUUGACACCAGUGUUGUUUUUCCGAAAAUCAAUUACGAAUGUUUUAGUUUUUAAGGAGUGAUGACUUCAUCGGCUUGCUUCUCUCUUUAUGAAACUUUCUUAAUGCACUUUUCGGUUAACAAGUCAACAUCAAUUUCUUUUGUUGUAAAAGGGGUAUGAGGAAGGUGGCUUUCUUUCGGAGAAAGUGUUUAUAGCCUUGUAGCCUCUGCAAUCGGAGAGAUUGAGGUCUGCAGCGUAGAUCCUUCGGGGUUAGAUACAGUUUGUGCUAAGUUAUAGCCUUUUCAUAGACAACUUGUUGACUAUGUUUAGUCUUGUAGCUUACUCGCUUAUGCUAUUUUACCUACGCUUAGGAUGUUGAAGAUGUAGCACAUCAU